This 404-nucleotide ribosomal RNA is filed under the name uncultured bacterium. Its description in RNAcentral is "bacterial SSU rRNA". It matches the Rfam family "Bacterial small subunit ribosomal RNA", at positions 355 to 776 of the family's 1533-position model. The record is from RNAcentral.
UGGGGGAUAUUGCACAAUGGAGGAAACUCUGAUGCAGCGACGCCGCGUGAGUGAAGAAGUAUUUCGGUAUGUAAAGCUCUAUCAGCAGGGAAGAUAAUGACAGUACCUGACUAAGAAGCCCCGGCUAACUACGUGCCAGCAGCCGCGGUAAUACGUAGGGGGCAAGCGUUAUCCGGAUUUACUGGGUGUAAAGGGAGCGUAGACGGAAUGGCAAGUCUGAAGUGAAAUCCUGCGGCUUAACUGCAGAAUUGCUUUGGAAACUGUCAAUCUGGAGUGUUGGAGAGGUAAGCGGAAUUCCUGGUGUAGCGGUGAAAUGCGUAGAUAUCAGGAAGAACACCGGAGGCGAAGGCGGCUUACUGGACAAUAACUGACGUUGAGGCUCGAAAGCGUGGGAAGCAAACAGG